RNAcentral lists this long non-coding RNA (1320 nucleotides) under Phasianus colchicus (ring-necked pheasant). Its description in RNAcentral is "lncRNA (ENSPCLG00000021477.1)". Lineage: Eukaryota; Metazoa; Chordata; Aves; Galliformes; Phasianidae. The record is from RNAcentral.
AUCAGCUAAGGCCUUCAAUUAAGUCUUGGGUGAAUAUCCCUAUUGCAUUUUCUUGAACAGCCCAACAAGAGCUGGCCUUCACACCUGGGCUGCAUCUGAGAGGCAGCAGCACUGAGAUGGAGUUGGCCCUUGGAGAGGAAAUAUUAGUUCUGGACAAAGGCGCUGCUUUAUUUUCCCAGUGUGCCAAAAUUAGAGAACCCCCUGGUGCUAAAUAAUUUUGUUCUGCCUCGCUGUGAAAAUUCCCAGUGUUCAAUAGCCCUCCACAAGCUCUCAUUUUAUCCCCAUAGUGCAGUGCUCCUGUGGUUAUAUGUCAGCUGCUGCAGUGGUAAACAUGUACACACUACUCAUUUAAGAGCUUUUAAAAGACUUCUCACUGUGCCCAGAAAUUACACCUGUGCUUUCUUACUUACCCAUGCUGUUGUCUUUGUUUCUCAGGCUAUAUUAAGCCUUCCAUUCUUCCCCCUUUGAAAGAGCGGGAGAGUAUAAACAUCUUUAAGUUCUGGCUUUCUAUCAGGUUGUGCAGAGGGACAGAGACAGUAAAUCUGGACAGAAGGAAAGGCAGAGGGCUGCGUGCGGUAGGGCUGGCAGAUGCUGCCUGCUCCUCCUGAAGGCGCAGAACACACACAGGAGCUCCAUGGUGUUGACUGAAAUCCCUGUCAGCUGCAGUGCUCAACUUCCUCGGGAUGGUGACCUGUGCUAUUCUGACUGUGUCUUCUGUAUCCACGGAUGAUGAAGAGAGACAGAGCACACGGCGCUCGGAGGAGCUGCAUCCGCAGAGGGGAAGUGAGAAGCCUUUCCCAAGAUGACUCCAAACGUGGAGAGGACAGCAGAGUGCUGUACUGGAGAGGACAGGGGGGCUGUACUGGAGAGGUAAGUGCUCGAGCCAAUACCUGUUCUCUGGGGAAGUUAAUGCAGCAUCCUCCCUCCAUCCUCUCCCCAAAGCUUUGGUUUCUCUAAAACAUCAAGAGAUAUUUUUGGUGUUGUUUUCAAUUUUGAUGUGACUGCUGACCUAUAAAAGAGAAGGACCAACUAUGACUGUAAAUCCAUGACCGUUUUUUGUUAGCUUCAGCCUGAUUCAGAUAUCACACCAUGAGGUGUAUAUCAGAACUGAGUUAUUAUAGAGGGAACAAAGAGGUUCCCUUAGGUCUAGAUUUUCCUGCUGCGUGCUGAAGUGCCAUCAGUGCUCCUUUCCAGGAGGGCAGGAAUUCUCCAGGGCAUUAACUGUUUUCUGCGUGAGUUGGAUGCAUUUGCCAAAACUUGUUUUGUUUCAACAUGCUGGUUCAUGAAAUCGAGUGCAGAAGGACAGUGCCUUUCCUCUCC